GGCUUAGGAGCGAUCCCGUCACCUGUAGCAUCAAGAUCAGGAUCCGGUAACCAUGGCAGAACGUGGGGAAAGGGGUUGUUUCUCCGUUUUGGAUGGCCGUUCCCGGACAUGAAGGACCCACCCCUUUCCUUCAAGCUCAGGAGCAUCUUUGUUAUUCCCAUGGUGAGCACCUUCAGCAAGAUCCUGCUAAGUUUGUGCAACAUCAUCAAUGGCCAUAAUGUGGAGUGCUUGCAAGAGAUGGAGAAGAGGCUGAAGGGUACAUCGCUGGUCACGGUCUCCAACCAUUACUCCUGCACUGAUGACCCUGCACUCUGGGUUGUGCUGACCAUCUGAUCAACAGUUCUUCAAAUAGGGGCUGAUGAGGGAAAAUGAUUUUCAUACUUCAUUGGAGAGCAGAAUAAAAACAGGUUGAGAAAGAUGAUUAUAACCCGGUGAUUCUGUUAUCACAAUCAGACCAAGCUGUAAUCAUCUGUCUCACCUGUGUGUCAGCAGACAAACAAAUUCGAGCAAGCAAGUGGGGAUUCCACUUGGUUAAGGAACAGCGCCUGGACGGAGACACCUUAGCCCACCUGCUAGCUGCUAAAUUAUGCUGAUAAACUGUACCUGUUCCAAAUGGGACUAAUUUGCUACAAAACCCACAAAAAUUUCUGCAAUUUGGACCCAUGUUUCUAGUGGGCUAGAAUUAGAGGAUUUAAAUUGAAAAAAAAUAUAUACAACUGAAACAAUUCACUAAAAUGUAGACUAGAAACCCACUCCAUGUAUCUCCUAGCCAUUGCAAUAUGUGCAAGUCAUUGGUAUUUAUGAUUGAAGGUGUCCACAUAGAGCUAUAAAUUAUGAUGAAACCACACUAGUAAGGUGGAUAAAUUCAGUGGCGAUCUAAGGUAGAUCAAAAUGUAGACAACCUGCUGAUCAGGAUUGGUGCCUAUGACCCGGUGACUUGCUUUACACAGCCAAACCAAGGUAUAGGCACCAAACCUCACAGCACAGAAGAUCUUAGUGUUGGCCGGAUUGAGAGAGGCUUUAAUAACUUUGACUGCAUGCUUACAAAUUAAUGUCCUUUAGAAAAAUAAACCAGAUCAUUGAUAAUUAUUUUGUUCUGAUAUAUUGCAUACAUGCAUAAGAAGUUAAUAAUGUUAACAGUACAGAGAAUAAAAUCAAAUGCUCAUUAAUAAAUGCUAUCGACAUCAACAUGUAGGUUAGUGAUCAGAGCAGGCAGAGAGUCCUAGAGUUUGUCAGUAAAAGGUAUGAAAGAUUGAAAAUAAUGGUUAACUGUUACACUAGAGAAGCAGACAAUAGUGGCGAGAGACAAUAAAGUCUUACGCAGCAGAGCAUUGGAAAGGGAGAUAUGCUAUUACCAAGGACAGGAUUGCAGUCAGCCUACAAGUAGCAAUAGAACAUUACAAAAGAUGCAACCUCUAGACAAGUCAGGAUGUGCUCCACUUUAGUAGAAGUUAAAGUCAAAAGAAUUUUUCAUAUUAGAGCUGGGCAAGAGAUUCAACAGAUUAAUUUCAUCUGAGUGACUGAAGCUGAAACCAGAUUGAUAGCAAAUUCAGAAGACUCAAUACUUUGGGCAAAAGGACAAGUUGACUAGUUAGAUAAAACAUCCAGCUUUGAGUACAGAACACAAGAGGGAACAGGAGUUGUAGUCUGUAGUGUCAGACACAUUUCAGUGAGGAAAAGAACAAGAACAAGAAAAGAAGAACAAAAGAAACAAAUAGUAGAUGUUCCAUUAGCUCUAAGGCCACGAUGACAUCUUAUUUUUCAAUUUUGAUGGAAGUAUGUAAUAUGCAUGCAUGUAGUGUGGUGUAAAAAGGUCGAAUUGCCUUUGGAGAGCAUGUUGUGACUAUCCACUUGUGCUGUGUGAUAGUGUUCAUGGAGAUCACAGUUGGUUUGGAGGGAUGUUCACCCAGUAUCCUUGCAUACCAGUGUGUACAAAAUAUCCCUAGGAGUAAUUACAGUUUCAGAAGUCAUCUACUGUCAUUUAAAGAGCUAACUAACACAACGGUGCCUGUAAAUGAGGAAAGCAACAGUGCCUGUAAACAGCCGAGGGAAAUGAAAGGCAUAAAAAGUAAAGCUGAGGAUAUCACACAGUGGCACUUAAGUGGAAGAUAAUGAAUGCCAAAUUAAGUGUGGGAAGUGUGAUUCAGUUUUCAAGGGAAGAAGGUAUGAAGGAUGGCUGUAAGCAGUAGAAUUAUGAGACAAAAUGAUGUCUUGACAGCAAGUGUGGAGACAAAGGAAAGAGUGUACAAGCUGGUAAGGAAGAAUGCAGAGUCGUCAGUUGGGAAAAAAAGUAAAAUGAAUGGAAGAAUGAGAUGAAAUGAAAGAGUACUUUGGAAUAGUAUAAGGUCUUAUUGUAUGAAAGAUUGUAUGAUGCUAGGGGACCCCAUGGAUGUGAAUGUAAGGAAUUACAGAUUGUCAGAUUCCCAUAGCAAAGUGUGCUAGAUUGUGUGAUAUGGGUGAAGAUGAUGGAGCAUGUGAUGUAAGAGGUAUGAGAGAAGAGUGAGAUGAUGCAAGUGAUUCUGACUGAGUUUGGGCAUAACAGGAAUGAAAGUGAAGACGGGAAGGGAAUGGAUGAGAUGGUGGAACAUGCGAACCUGGAGGAAGAAGUACGAGAGAAACAGGAGAAAGAUGAUGCAAAUGAUUCUGACAGGGCAUAAUAGGAAUGAAAGGGGAGAAGACGAGUUGGGGCAUAAUAAGAAUGAAAGUGGAGAAGACGAGUUGGGGCAUAAUAGGAAUGAAAGGGGAGAAGACAAGUUGGGGCAUAAUAGGAAUGAAAGUGGAGAAGACAGGAAGAGAAUGAAUGGUAGUGUUGCUGGAAUUUUGUAAAUGGGGGUAAGAGAGGAAGUAAAGAAGUCCAUGGAAAUUAUGUGGUAUGUCAGAAAUAAAAAUUAGUUGUAUGGUGGCUACUCUUUUCUGUUUUUAAUUCUGCAGAAGUUUUCAUUAUAUAGGCUCAAUGUAGUAGAAAUCCCAAAUCACCUAUAAUACCAAGACCAGGAAUUGGCAAGAGAUAUACUAAUAAAGGAUGUGCAAAUCCUAGCCAAGAGAUAUACUAAUAAAGGAUGUGCAAAUCCUAAUCAGAUGCAAUAUGUUAUCCAUUACAGCUAACAACCGCAGUUUUUCCCAUAUAAGGGUCUCUGUAUCCUACAACUCUUGUGAGAGAGAGAGAGAGAGAGAGAGAGAGAGAGAGAGAGAGAGAGAGAGAGAGAGAGAGAGAGAGAGAGAGAGAGAGAGAGAGAGAGAGAU
This is an RNA transcript of Scylla paramamosain (green mud crab), 3243 nucleotides long. It is a transcript of the gene named tafazzin-like, with no coding region annotated. The record is from RefSeq and is a predicted model, not a curated record. The transcript has 5 exons. Lineage: Eukaryota; Metazoa; Arthropoda; Malacostraca; Decapoda; Portunidae.